GAUGAACGCUGGCGGCGUGCCUAAUACAUGCAAGUCGAGCGAACAGACGAGGGGCUUGCUCCUCUGACGUUAGCGGCGGACGGGUGAGUAACACGUGGAUAACCUACCUAUAAGACUGGGAUAACUUCGGGAAACCGGAGCUAAUACCGGAUAAUAUAUUGAACCGCAUGGUUCAAUAGUGAAAGACGGUUUUGCUGUCACUUAUAGAUGGAUCCGCGCCGCAUUAGCUAGUUGGUAAGGUAACGGCUUACCAAGGCAACGAUGCGUAACCGACCUGAGAGGGUGAUCGGCCACACUGGAACUGAGACACGGUCCAGACUCCUACGGGAGGCAGCAGUAGGGAAUCUUCCGCAAUGGGCGAAAGCCUGACGGAGCAACGCCGCGUGAGUGAUGAAGGUCUUCGGAUCGUAAAACUCUGUUAUUAGGGAAGAACAAAUGUGUAAGUAACUAUGCACGUCUUGACGGUACCUAAUCAGAAAGCCACGGCUAACUACGUG
This 497-nucleotide ribosomal RNA is filed under the name uncultured bacterium. RNAcentral's name for it is "partial 16S ribosomal RNA". It matches the Rfam family "Bacterial small subunit ribosomal RNA", at positions 28 to 507 of the family's 1533-position model. The record is from RNAcentral.